CUACGGGGGGCAGCAGUGGGGAAUAUUGCACAAUGGGCGAAAGCCUGAUGCAGCAACGCCGCGUGAGGGACGACGGCCUUCGGGUUGUAAACCUCUUUUAGCAGGGAAGAAGCGAAAGUGACGGUACCUGCAGAAAAAGCACCGGCUAACUACGUGCCAGCAGCCGCGGUAAUACGUAGGGUGCAAGCGUUGUCCGGAAUUAUUGGGCAUAAAGAGCUCGUAGGCGGUUUGUCGCGUCUGCUGUGAAAAUCCGAGGCUCAACCUCGGACCUGCAGUGGGUACGGGCAAACUAGAGUGCGGUAGGGGAGAUUGGAAUUCCUGGUGUAGCGGUGGUAUGCGCAGAUAUCAGGAGGAACACCAAUGGCGAAGGCAGAUCUCUGGGCCGUAACUGACGCUGAGGAGCGAAAGCGUGGGGAGCGAACAGGAUUAGAUACCCCAGUAGUC
Molecule: ribosomal RNA, 444 nt
Filed under: uncultured bacterium
Lineage: Bacteria
Description: partial 16S ribosomal RNA
Rfam family: Bacterial small subunit ribosomal RNA
Source: RNAcentral